AUGUGGACCAGUAGACUCCGGUUCCUCUCUCAAGCCUGCUGUCAUGACCGGAGACGGGCUCUGAGCAGAGCUCUGUACGCUCUGAGACGGGCCAUCUACAUGCGUCGUGCUCAAACUGAUGCAGUGGAGAGGAGGACAAGCGCUUUUCUGCUCUCUCACAGUUUUUACCAGUGGAAGAAUCACUAUGAGAGCAAACACCUGGAAAACACAUUCAACACAGCCGCUCUGAGAAAACGACUCGUUCCUCCCAGCCGUGCUUCAGUCCUGAGGACCACACGUUCCUCCUGUGAUUCAUCAUCAUCUGUGUGUACUGUACAAGCACUGGCUGCUCUGGAGGCAGGUGUGCUCGAGGUGGUCAUGUGUUCGGUGGGACAGGAGACUCCAGAGCAAAGCCUGGACCCUGUGGACAUCAACCUGGCAGAGGACACAGCUGUCCGCACAUCAGUUCAGGAUGCAUUUGUUAUCAUCAGCAUGGAAGGGCUUGAAGAUCAGGAACAGAGAGAUGAAGAUGGAGAAGUUGAUUCAGUCCAUUCAGAGGAGCCAGCUUCUUCACUCUUUCCAUCUCUGGAAGAAAAGAGCAGAAACCUGUCAAAACGACAGAGAGAAACGGUUCGUUUUGAGCCGACGCUCCCUGCUCUCCUGGUACUCCUGCGUUCAGAAGAACAAGCUAACACGAUUGAGCAGCAGAGCACGAUGGAUGCUUUCCAGAUGGACGUUAGCAGGUGGGUGAGCUGCCUGACACUGACAGCACUGAGUCUGCUGAGGUGA
Molecule: long non-coding RNA, 768 nt
Filed under: Carassius auratus (goldfish)
Lineage: Eukaryota; Metazoa; Chordata; Actinopteri; Cypriniformes; Cyprinidae
Description: lncRNA (ENSCARG00000053816.1)
Source: RNAcentral